AUGGUUGCUAAAUUUUUACCUCCUAGCUUCACAUACCAACAAAAGAAAAAGUUUUUCUAUGACUUGCGACAUUACUUUUGGGAUGACCCACAUCUUUAUAAAGAAGGAGUAGAUGGUGUUAUUAGACGUUGUGUACCUAAGCAUGAACAGGAACAGAUCCUACGCAAGUGCCACUCCGAAGCUUAUGGAGGACACCAUGCUGGAGAUAGAACUGCACAUAAGGUAUUGCAAUCCGGUUUUUAUUGGCCUACUCUCUUCAAAGAUGCCUGUAAGUUUGUUUUGUCUUGCGAUGAAUGUCAAAGAAUUGAUAAUAUUAGUAGACGUCAAGAAAUGCCUAUGAAUUAUUUGCUUGUUAUUGAGCCAUUUGAUGUUUGGGGCUUUGAUUAUAUGGGACCUUUUCCUGCCUCUAAUGGUUACACUCAUAUUUUAGUUGCUGUAGAUUACGUUACUAAGUGGGUAGAAGCUAUUCCAACUAGUAGUGCUGAUCAUAACACUUCUAUUAAAAUGCUUAAGGAAGUUAUCUUUCCGAGGUUUGGAGUCCCUAGAUACUUAAUGACUGAUGGUGGUUCACACUUUAUUCAUGUUGCUUUUCGUAAGAUGCUUGCUAAAUAUGACGUUAACCAUGGGAUUACAUCCCCUUAUCACCCGCAGUCUAGUGGUCAAGUAGAAUUGAGCAAUAGAGAGCUCAAAUUAAUUUUGCAAAAGACUGUUAAUAGGUCUAGAAAGAAUUGA
Molecule: ribosomal RNA, 732 nt
Filed under: Triticum aestivum (bread wheat)
Lineage: Eukaryota; Viridiplantae; Streptophyta; Magnoliopsida; Poales; Poaceae
Description: partial small subunit ribosomal RNA
Source: RNAcentral